Chelonus insularis is the source of this 621-nucleotide long non-coding RNA. RefSeq lists it as uncharacterized. The record is from RefSeq and is a predicted model, not a curated record. The transcript is spliced from 3 exons. Lineage: Eukaryota; Metazoa; Arthropoda; Insecta; Hymenoptera; Braconidae.
GUUACGAAUGCACGUGCAUAUAUGAGUAAUAUAGUUAAGCAUGCAUUUCUUUUUCGAAACAUUCAUCAUAGACACACCUUUUUUUUGGUGUUUAUUCAUAAUAUUUUCUUCAUUUUGUCAUAAUUAUAUGAUAACAUUUUAUUGCUAUUAUAGCAUACAUCACUUUCAAUUAACUGGACGUAAAAUAAAAUAUCUUUUCAAGAAAUAAAAAUGAGAGUGAGAUCAGGCUAAGGGAAUGUCAAGAAAAAAAUAAACCGACCAACACCUCAAAAUACUUCAAUUGAUGUAUUUUACACACUACCAUUGUACAACCGCUUUUCUCUACCCUGGGUUGACAUGAAACAUAAGUGAUCUUAUUCGAUGAUCAUCCAAUAACAUCUAACAUCUUUUUUAGUAAAUGUAUAAUUUUAAAUUUAUCCUGUCAUAAAAAGGAUUUGUAUAUCCAGAUCGUUUGCAGAGUUAGUGAAGAAAUAAAAUUAAAAAUAGAGCAUUGGUAUUAACUCCAAAUUUAGAUAGAGCUGAAAAUGUGUAGAAGAAUCAACGAUGCGUACCGACUGGCCUCAACCAUUGUGUCUGUAUACAGUUAGCUGAUUAUUCUUGCCAAGACACGAACGAAUGAGC